CUACAUGUAGUUGCUUUCGGUUCAUCGAGUCGGGUGACGGCCCGGCGCGGCGCUAAGAGGGAAACCGGUCUGAUUCCGGUGCUGCCCCCGCAACUGUAAGCGGCGAGUGAAGGCCCUGAGAGCCACUGGGAUAUCCCGGGAAGGCGCGGCCGGAACCACGACCCGCAAAGCCAGGAGACCUGCCGGAAGCCGGAUAGAAUU
RNAcentral lists this non-coding RNA (201 nucleotides) under Salipiger sp. CCB-MM3. Lineage: Bacteria; Pseudomonadati; Pseudomonadota; Alphaproteobacteria; Rhodobacterales; Roseobacteraceae. RNAcentral also lists the same sequence under 1 other name. The record is from RNAcentral.